CAAGACCCGCCUCAAGGACGCGCACCAGCGGGUCAUCAGUAUCCCCAUUGCCACCCUCCCUACCACGAAUUCGCCUGAGAGAUCGACACAGAUAUAGAAAGAGAGAGAGACGCGAGAGCGAGGGGAGAAUAAUGUGAGAAGACAAGAUGGAAGGUCUGCUAAUUAGUACUGUAUCUAUCAGAGGAUUAACAAACUUUGGGGGACACGUGUGUGGCCACAACGGUGGGGCUAGAUGGCGGGGAGUCACCAAGGACUUUGGCUUAGAAAAGUUGCUUUGCUUAUUUCGCCGCAGGGAAAUCACGAAGCUCGUUAGGUACCUGUUGCUUUGCUUUUACUUGCCUCAUCUUCCCCCCAUCGUCUUCCCCCAUCAUGCCUCGGCUUCCUCCACCAAGUCUGCCGGGGAACCAGGGUCUCCCCCUUUGUCGCCUACAAAUCCGGCUACCGCGACUCCUCGUCAGCCUCUGCCUGCUGUGUCGGCGGCGCUGCCCUCUCUCCUGCUAGUGACGCGGCCUCUGGAGGCGCCUCCCUCGCGAGCUCGCUCGGACUUGGGCUGCAAGGGAGCACGGGGCACAAGGGCGGGCCCGACAACGAAGAGCACGGAGAUGCCGAUGGCGGGGGGCUGGCGGCAGGGAGCAGAGGUCGAGAUGAAGCUCACACCGAAACGGGCGGGGUCCGGUGGCGGGCGCGGGAAGAAAAUUGGCCCCGGCGGCGGCGGGAAAUCGCGGAGCGAAGCGCCAUCGUUCGCGUCAUCUUCGUAGGAGGAGGCGAGGUCGGCGGCGACCGAGCCCGAGGUCGAUACUGCUCCUGCCGGUGGCAGAGAUCUCGCGGCGGGAGCUAGAGGCCGGGCUGCGGCGGCUCGGGCACGGCGGCCGGAGUCCAAGGAGGAGAGGGGCGGUGCCGAAUUCUAGAAUGGGGUAAGCAGAGCUUGUUUCUCGCCCUUCUGCUCUCUUCCUCGCGAAGAAUGCCUCGUCAGAACACUGCGCCAAGGACAAUGUUGAUAAAUUAGAUAAUUUCGAUCAAUAUUUAAUUCAGAAAGACAGUGUAAAACAUGUAGCACAUUAUAUCAUGCAAACUAGACAAAUUAAAUAGCAACGCACAGCAAUAAAACUCAUCUAAUUUCACGGCAUGAAUAAUAGAACUACUAAUCAAAAUCAGCAAGAAAUAGCAGAUUACGUACGGUGCUGUGCUCUUUUCUUGUGUUUGUUUGUUGAGGUCGGUGACGAGUCCGGUGGCGUCGAUGUUCACGCCGGCAGCAGCUGCAGCCUUGACUACCUCCUGAGCAGCGGCC
RNAcentral lists this long non-coding RNA (1288 nucleotides) under Brachypodium distachyon (stiff brome). Its description in RNAcentral is "long non-coding RNA (BDIS_LNC001021)". The record is from RNAcentral. Lineage: Eukaryota; Viridiplantae; Streptophyta; Magnoliopsida; Poales; Poaceae.